CCAUGACUGAGGCCAAUGUGAAUCUGAAGGCCUAGCCCCUCGCCGAUGCCCACCUCACCAAGAAACCACUGGAGUUCAUUCAGUAGUCGUGUAACUACAAGCAGCUUCAGAAAAGAGCCAACGAGGCCACCAAAACCCUUAACAGGGGCAUCUCUGAGUUCAUCGUGAUGGCUGCAGACACCGAGCCACAGGAGAUCAUUCCGCACCUCCACUGCUGUGUGAAGACAAGAACGUGCCCUUCAUAUUUGUGCGCUCCAAGCAGGCCCUGGGAAGAGCCUGUGGGGUCUCCAGGCCUGUCAUCACCUGUUCUGUCACCAUCAAAGAAGGCUCACAGCUGAAACAGCAGAUCCAAUCCAUUCAGCAGUCCAUCAAAAGGCUCUUAGUC
RNAcentral lists this long non-coding RNA (385 nucleotides) under Homo sapiens (human). RNAcentral's name for it is "non-protein coding lnc-ZNF26-11:1". Lineage: Eukaryota; Metazoa; Chordata; Mammalia; Primates; Hominidae. The record is from RNAcentral.